RNAcentral lists this small RNA (50 nucleotides) under Arabidopsis thaliana (thale cress). RNAcentral describes it as "ATSL126320". The record is from RNAcentral. Lineage: Eukaryota; Viridiplantae; Streptophyta; Magnoliopsida; Brassicales; Brassicaceae.
ACUCUCAGAGGAGCAGAUGAAGGAACUAAUCUACCGCGAGGCGCUUGCUU